UGUUGCAGCCCACAGUGGGUAAGCAUCUUGACCACAACCAUACUGGAACUUCAUGGCAGAGCUUGAAUUAGUACGUAAAUGAUCAUUAAUUGUGAAAUGUCAACUUGACUCAAGUAAGAACCACCUAACAGAUUAGUAAAUCUUUGGGUGUGUCUGUGGAUGACUGACUUGUAGGCUUGGAACUGAGACGGGAUGACCUACUCUGGAUGUGGGUGAUACCUACCCAUAUACUUUUAGUCUGGAUGGAGUAAAAAGGAAAAGAAGAAGGAAGUCUUCCCUUUUCUUUUUGGAAGAAGCUCUGGCCUUUGCCAUUGCCUUUAGACACUUGUCUCCAGGCUUCCAGUGCAGACUCCUCAGCCUUCUAACACAGAUUCUUUGACCUUCCAACAUGGACUUGCACUAAACUCUGCAGUAAGCUCCAGGGCUUUGACCUUUGACUGGAUCCUUUGGCCCUCCAAUGUGCAGAUGGCCAUUUUGAAUUCUUCUAUUCCUGAUUCCUUAGGUGGCCCUUGCAGAACAAAGUUACUCGGGUGAAGAGACUCAGGAGAUUAACACAAAUGGAGGGAUGGGAUCCAAUAAAGCUAUAGGCUUAGCUCUCCUGAAGGCAUGCAGAAACUGGGAGGCAAAGGCCAGCAGAAAGGUGGGCCAAAGUGACACACAGUCAUUUCCUCCCCUCUCCUGUCCCUGCUAUUCUAGGUGGUGUGUGCAGGAACUGAUGAAGUGGCUAUAAUAUCGCUUGUGAUUGUUGGGAAGCCUAAGAUUUAUGAGAGUCCACACUGAAGAGGUGAACCAGGUUGGAUCCAAGCUUGAUACAAAGAAAGUAAAACACAGCAAGUUGCUCACUGUGCCCAAGGAUGUCCUCUCUAUCCCAGGCUGGCUGGGCCACCCCCCCCCCCCAUCUGUAAUGCUUGCUUCUCAGCAAGGGCUUGUCCUGGAGCUAGGGAAGACCCUGAGCAAAUCAGUGCACUAUUUCUGGAUGUCAGUAUUGAAAGUAGAAUCCAGUAACUUGCACAUACUAAGCAAGUACUCUACCACUGAGCUCCCCUCCAGACUCUGAAAGGCCUGCUUCUGCUGAGAAAAUCUUUCAUUCUCAACUCCAGAUGCCAGAGUUAAAGCCUCACAGGUUGACAGAGAUGAUCCCUUGGGUUUCCAGAAUUUGGCAGAACAGCUGACGCACUGAUCCUGUCAAUCUCUACUCUCACAGUGAAUCAUUUACAUCUGAGAAGCCCUUGCCUUGACCUUAUAAAAUCAGUAUGUUUCAAUAAUUCUGAAUCAUCUCAAAAAUGGAAUAAUUAGCUUUUAAAUUAAAAAAUCCAAAUAAACAAGUGGUUAGAGAGCACAUCAAAAGUAUUUAAAUAAUAAGUCCUAGCCAAGAAGAUGUAAUCUAUUAUUGUCUUCCCUUGGAUCAAAGAAUACCUACUACCAGAAUGAAGGACUGUGUCCCAAAAGCAGAUUAAAGUUUUUAUCUUCUGCAGACUGAAAAUUGCUGAUAACUUCUAAAAGACAAGAAACAAAACCACAGCUGUUAAACGUCCUGUUGUUACAUGGUGACCAACAAUGCACAUCUGCACACCACGUACAGUCCUUGCUGGUGUUGCAGUUCAUCUGCCCCUCUUACUGCACCUCCUCUACUCUCUGAGCCUGCUACAGUCCUUCAGUUCACUUAGCAAUCUGUAGGAGUCUUGUCGCAAACACCAAAUACUUAUUAAGAGUGGAGGAACCAUUGCUAUUUAUAUGGUGUGUAGUGGGGGCUUCAAUUAUCAUCCCUCCCCUGUAUCCAUUCUCCCAUUUUGUGAACAAUAACAAAAUCCCCAAUAGUUUUCUGAAUUUCCAUGCCUUCCUUGUAGUUAGAUGUGAACACUGAUGACUUUCUGGCCAAUGGCUUGUGAACAGAUGUGAUGAUGAGUCCACUCACCAAGUUGUGUCUGUGAAACAAAGGGGGGUACCUCUUUGUCCCUUCUCUUUCCAUGGGAAAAGAAGCUUGGAAGGAGGGAGUCCCCUAGGGAAACCAAGCAGCAAAAUCAAGAAAAUCUGGAUUUCUGACUCCUUUACCCAGGGGCAGAAGUUCCCAGAUGUUCGCAUUUCACAGUGCAG
Long non-coding RNA from Heterocephalus glaber (naked mole-rat), 2094 nucleotides. NCBI's taxonomy places the organism in Eukaryota, Metazoa, Chordata, Mammalia, Rodentia, Bathyergidae. The record is from Ensembl.